AUUUCCUUCAUAAAACGCAGCAGAGGCAGCAGCGCUCCAGGGAAGGAAAAGAAGGGAAAACAUCCCGUAAGGGUUACGGUGAGUUCCCGCUCCCGUAACUUCUCCGUCCGAGCUCCGAUCGCCGCACCGUUUGCGGCCACGCGUUCACUGCGUCGAGCUCUACAUUUCUACCGGAACAAUUUCUUUGGAUCCAAUUAGCUUGAGAGAAACGUUCACUCUUGCUUAUGUGAAGCUUGGGUAAGGUUGAGAAUAAAUAAUUGGAGCUUGAAAUUGUGAAUACUGGAACUUGGAGGAAGCGGAUUAGUUGAGUUUUGAGGGGUUGUCUUGGUUUUGAAUAAAUAGCUUUGGUCGUUACGUGGAAAUCGGCUAAGAUGCAGGUCGAGAGGCAUCUCGUUAGGCGUCUGGACUCUUGAAGCGAAGUGGUUACUGGGAUAUUUUGUUAUGCUAUGAUGUAUAUAUAUGUACUUAGAUUUCUCUCCGCAUGACUUAU
This is a long non-coding RNA of Arachis stenosperma, 490 nucleotides long. RefSeq lists it as uncharacterized. NCBI's taxonomy places the organism in Eukaryota, Viridiplantae, Streptophyta, Magnoliopsida, Fabales, Fabaceae. The record is from RefSeq and is a predicted model, not a curated record. The transcript is spliced from 4 exons.